This 440-nucleotide ribosomal RNA is filed under the name uncultured bacterium. RNAcentral's name for it is "partial 16S ribosomal RNA". It matches the Rfam family "Bacterial small subunit ribosomal RNA", at positions 338 to 795 of the family's 1533-position model. The record is from RNAcentral.
CCUACGGGUGGCAGCAGUGGGGGAUAUUGCACAAUGGGGGAAACCCUGAUGCAGCGACGCCGCGUGGGUGAUGAAGCGCUUCGGCGCGUAAAGCCCUGUCAGCAGGGAAGAAAAUGACGGUACCUGAUGAAGAAGCCCCGGCUAACUACGUGCCAGCAGCCGCGGUAAUACGUAGGGGGCACGCGUUAUCCGGAAUUACUGGGGGUAAAGGGGGGGCAGACGGUGAUGUAAGCCAGGAGUGAAAGGCUGAGGCCCAACCCGGGGACAGCUCUGGAAACUGCGUGACUAGAGUGCAGGAGAGGAGAGCGGAAUUCCUGGUGUAGCGGUGAAAUGCGUAGAUAUCAGGAGGAACACCAGUGGCGAAGGCGGCCUGCUGGACUGCAACUGACGCUGAGGCCCGAAAGCGUGGGGAGCAAACAGGAUUAGAUACCCGAGUAGUC